Molecule: ribosomal RNA, 486 nt
Filed under: uncultured bacterium
Lineage: Bacteria
Description: bacterial SSU rRNA
Rfam family: Bacterial small subunit ribosomal RNA
Source: RNAcentral
GACGAACGCUGGCGGCGUGCUUAACACAUGCAAGUCGAACGGUGAACCGGGCUUCGGCCCGGGGAUCAGUGGCGAACGGGUGCGUAACACGUGGGCAACCUGCCCCAGACACUGGGAUAACUCCGGGAAACCGGGGCUAAUACCGGAUACUCCGGUCGAACCUCAUGGUUCGAUCGGGAAAGCUCCGACGGUCUGGGAUGGGCCCGCGGCCUAUCAGCUUGUUGGCGAGGUAACGGCUCACCAAGGCGACGACGGGUAGCUGGUCUGAGAGGACGACCAGCCACACUGGAACUGAGAUACGGUCCAGACUCCUACGGGAGGCAGCAGUGGGGAAUCUUGCACAAUGGGCGAAAGCCUGAUGCAGCGACGCCGCGUGAGGGAUGACGGCCUUCGGGUUGUAAACCUCUUUCAGCGCAGACGAAGCGAAAGUGACGGUAUGCGCAGAAGAAGGACCGGCCAACUACGUGCCAGCAGCCGCGGUAAAAC